RNAcentral lists this transfer RNA (72 nucleotides) under Camelus bactrianus (Bactrian camel). It matches the Rfam family "tRNA". Rfam says of the family: Transfer RNA (tRNA) molecules are approximately 80 nucleotides in length. Their secondary structure includes four short double-helical elements and three loops (D, anti-codon, and T loops). Further hydrogen bonds mediate the characteristic L-shaped molecular structure. tRNAs have two regions of fundamental functional importance: the anti-codon, which is responsible for specific mRNA codon recognition, and the 3' end, to which the tRNAs corresponding amino acid is attached (by aminoacyl-tRNA synthetases). tRNAs cope with the degeneracy of the genetic code in two manners: having more than one tRNA (with a specific anti-codon) for a particular amino acid; and 'wobble' base-pairing, i.e. permitting non-standard base-pairing at the 3rd anti-codon position. RNAcentral also lists the same sequence under 2 other names. The record is from Rfam by way of RNAcentral. Lineage: Eukaryota; Metazoa; Chordata; Mammalia; Artiodactyla; Camelidae.
GUGGGGAUAGCUCAGUGGUAGAGUGCAUACCUAGCAUGUACAAGGUCCUGGGUCCAAUCCCCAGUACCUCCA